UCGGAUCCUGAGAACCGCCUCGGCAGUUU
This 29-nucleotide non-coding RNA is filed under the name Bombyx mori (domestic silkworm). Lineage: Eukaryota; Metazoa; Arthropoda; Insecta; Lepidoptera; Bombycidae. The record is from RNAcentral.